GGGUACUCGAGUGGCGAACGGGUGAGUAACACGUGGGUGAUCUGCCCUGCACUCUGGGAUAAGCCUGGGAAACUGGGUCUAAUACCGGAUAUGACCAACUGUCGCAUGGUGGUUGGUGGAAAGCUUUUGCGGUGUGGGAUGGGCCCGCGGCCUAUCAGCUUGUUGGUGGGGUAAUGGCCUACCAAGGCGACGACGGGUAGCCGACCUGAGAGGGUGAUCGGCCACACUGGGACUGAGACACGGCCCAGACUCCUACGGGAGGCAGCAGUGGGGAAUAUUGCACAAUGGGCGCAAGCCUGAUGCAGCGACGCCGCGUGAGGGAUGACGGCCUUCGGGUUGUAAACCUCUUUCACCAGGGACGAAGCGUGAGUGACGGUACCUGGAGAAGAAGCACCGGCCAACUACGUGCCAGCAGCCGCGGUAAUACGUAGGGUGCGAGCGUUGUCCGGAAUUACUGGGCGUAAAGAGCUCGUAGGCGGUUUGUCGCGUCGUCUGUGAAAUUCUGCAACUCAAUUGUAGGCGUGCAGGCGAUACGGGCAGACUUGAGUACUACAGGGGAGACUGGAAUUCCUGGUGUAGCGGUGAAAUGCGCAGAUAUCAGGAGGAACACCGGUGGCGAAGGCGGGUCUCUGGGUAGUAACUGACGCUGAGGAGCGAAAGCGUGGGUAGCGAACAGGAUUAGAUACCCUGGUAGUCCACG
Molecule: ribosomal RNA, 700 nt
Filed under: Gordonia sp. KLBMP S0002
Lineage: Bacteria; Bacillati; Actinomycetota; Actinomycetes; Mycobacteriales; Gordoniaceae
Description: bacterial SSU rRNA
Rfam family: Bacterial small subunit ribosomal RNA
Source: RNAcentral